AGCAGCCGCGGUAAUUCCAGCUCCAAUAGCGUAUAUUAAAGUUGUUGCAGUUAAAAAGCUCGUAGUUGAAUUUCGGGGUUAGUAGGUUGGUCGUGCCACUGGUACGUACUGGUCUCACUGACUCCUCCUUCCUGAUGAACUGUAAUGCCAUUAAUUUGGUGUUGCGGGGAAACUGGACUGUUACUUUGAAAAAAUUAGAGUGUUUAAAGCAAGCUAACGCUUGAAUACAUUAGCAUGGAAUAAUGAAAUAGGACGUUCGAUCCUAUUUUGUUGGUUUCUAGGAUUGACGUAAUGAUUAAUAGGGAUAGUUGGGGGCAUUAGUAUUCAAUCGUCAGAGGUGAAAUUCUUGGAUUUAUUGAAGACUAACUACUGCGAAAGCAUUUGCCAAGGAUGUUUUCAUUAAUCAAGAACGAAAGUUAGGGGAUCGAAGACGAUCAGAUACCGUCGUAGUCUUAACCAUAAACUAUGCCGACUAGGGAUCGGAUGAUGUUAAUUUUUAAUGACUCAUUUCGGCGCCUUA
This 520-nucleotide ribosomal RNA is filed under the name uncultured Glomus. RNAcentral describes it as "SSU rRNA". It matches the Rfam family "Eukaryotic small subunit ribosomal RNA", at positions 569 to 1090 of the family's 1831-position model. Lineage: Eukaryota; Fungi; Glomeromycota; Glomeromycetes; Glomerales; Glomeraceae. The record is from RNAcentral.